UACGUAGGGGGCAAGCGCUGUCCGGAAUCAUUGGGCGUAAAGCGCGUGUAGGCGGUUCGGUAAGUCUGCUGUGAAAGUCCAGGGCUCAACCCUGGGAUGCCGGUGGAUACUGUCGGACUAGAGUACGGAAGAGGCGAGUGGAAUUCCCGGUGUAGCGGUGAAAUGCGUAGAGAUCGGAAGGAACACCAGUGGCGAAGGCGGCUACCUGGACAGAUACUGACACUGAGGCGCGAGAGCGUGGGGAGCAAACAGG
This 253-nucleotide ribosomal RNA is filed under the name uncultured bacterium. RNAcentral describes it as "partial 16S ribosomal RNA". It matches the Rfam family "Bacterial small subunit ribosomal RNA", at positions 524 to 776 of the family's 1533-position model. The record is from RNAcentral.